GGCUUAAUGCAGUCUUCGGUGGCCUAGUGGUUAUGGCACCCGCCUCGGAUGCGGGAGGUCGUGGGUUCGAUCCCCGGUCGAGUCA
This is a non-coding RNA of Potamilus streckersoni, 85 nucleotides long. The record is from the annotation of a GenBank genome assembly. NCBI's taxonomy places the organism in Eukaryota, Metazoa, Mollusca, Bivalvia, Unionida, Unionidae.